Molecule: ribosomal RNA, 424 nt
Filed under: Streptococcus constellatus
Lineage: Bacteria; Bacillati; Bacillota; Bacilli; Lactobacillales; Streptococcaceae
Description: bacterial SSU rRNA
Rfam family: Bacterial small subunit ribosomal RNA
Source: RNAcentral
UGCACCGUAGUUUACUACACCGUAUUCUGUGAGUUGCGAACGGGUGAGUAACGCGUAGGUAACCUGCCUGGUAGCGGGGGAUAACUAUUGGAAACGAUAGCUAAUACCGCAUAAGAACAUUUACUGCAUGGUAGAUGUUUAAAAGGUGCAAAAGCAUCACUACCAGAUGGACCUGCGUUGUAUUAGCUAGUUGGUGAGGUAACGGCUCACCAAGGCAACGAUACAUAGCCGACCUGAGAGGGUGAUCGGCCACACUGGGACUGAGACACGGCCCAGACUCCUACGGGAGGCAGCAGUAGGGAAUCUUCGGCAAUGGGGGGAACCCUGACCGAGCAACGCCGCGUGAGUGAAGAAGGUUUCCGGAUCGUAAAGCUCUGUUGUUAAGGAAGAACGUGUGUGAGAGUGGAAAGUUCGCACAGUGACG